GAAGGAGGAAGGUGGGAAGGCCUGGCCGCCCUGCACUACCCCCGGGGGCGCGCGAAUGAGGUCGGACCUGGCGGACCCGGAGAGGGAGCAGACUUGGAGACAAGCUCUGCAACUACUCAGGAGACACUUCCCAUAAAGAAUGUUUCUGAAGAGGCAGCUUCCCCAAAGGGAAAGAUGGAGGGUAUUUUAAGGGCAGUGCUUGGAGACACC
Molecule: long non-coding RNA, 210 nt
Filed under: Sus scrofa (pig)
Lineage: Eukaryota; Metazoa; Chordata; Mammalia; Artiodactyla; Suidae
Description: lncRNA (ENSSSCG00070027246.1)
Source: RNAcentral